UGGGCAACCUACCCUUGACUCUGGGAUAACUCCGGGAAACCGAAGCUAAUACCGGAUAUGAACACGAAGGACAUCCUUUGUGUUGGAAAGUUUUUCGGUCAGGGAUGGGCCCGCGGCCUAUCAGCUUGUUGGUGGGGUGAUGGCCUACCAAGGCGACGACGGGUAGCCGGCCUGAGAGGGCGACCGGCCACACUGGGACUGAGACACGGCCCAGACUCCUACGGGAGGCA
This 230-nucleotide ribosomal RNA is filed under the name uncultured bacterium. RNAcentral's name for it is "partial 16S ribosomal RNA". It matches the Rfam family "Bacterial small subunit ribosomal RNA", at positions 118 to 350 of the family's 1533-position model. The record is from RNAcentral.